This is a long non-coding RNA of Vicia villosa (hairy vetch), 315 nucleotides long. RefSeq lists it as uncharacterized. The record is from RefSeq and is a predicted model, not a curated record. NCBI's taxonomy places the organism in Eukaryota, Viridiplantae, Streptophyta, Magnoliopsida, Fabales, Fabaceae. The transcript has 3 exons.
ACUUGGUUCAUGAAACAAGUGAAUUAUCAGUUUAUAUUGAUAGGCGAGACCUUGAUGAAUUAAUUUCUGGUGUUAAAUGGAUCUCCACAUCUAUCUUGUCUCUAUGGUGCUCAUAUCUACAUGGCAUUUGUAUCUCUAAGAAUGUCAGUGAACUAUUUGGAUUUCUUGAUCCAAAUAGGACACUAAUUACCACUAGAGAUCCCAAUGCUAUUAAAUCUUACAUACAAGAUAGGUUGGAUGGCGAGUCAAAAAAAUGUUACUUAGGACCAUUGUUAAAUAACAAUCACUGGCAAUUGUAUGUUAUUUGUCCCCAAG